Molecule: ribosomal RNA, 1350 nt
Filed under: metagenome
Description: bacterial LSU rRNA
Rfam family: Bacterial large subunit ribosomal RNA
Source: RNAcentral
UGAAUACGAAAUGCUACGGCAUUGAAGUGAUCUAUGCCAGGCUUCCAAGAAAAUCUCGUCAUAUCUUAAGCAGUAGAUGCCUGUACCUUAAACCGACACAGGUAGGUAGGUAGAGUAUACCAAGGGGCGCGAGAUAACUCUCUCUAAGGAACUCGGCAAAAUAACCUCGUAACUUCGGAAGAAGAGGUACCCUUGAAAAAGGGUUGCAAUAACCAGACCCUGGCGACUGUUUACCAAAAACACAGGUCUCCGCUAAUUCGUAAGAUCAAGUAUGGAGGCUGACGCCUGCCCAGUGCCGGAAGGUUAAAGAAGUUGGUCAAUCUUUGGAUGAAGCUGGCGACUGAAGCCCCGGUGAACGGCGGCCGUAACUAUAACGGUCCUAAGGUAGCGAAGUUCCUUGUCGGGUAAGUUCCGACCCGCACGAAAGGCGUAACGGUCAGGGUGCUGUCUCGGAGAGAGACUCGGCGAAAUAGACAUGUCUGUGAAGAUGCGGCCUACCUGCACCUGGACAGAAAGACCCUAUGAAGCUUUACUGUAUCUUGGAAUUGGGUUUGGGCCUUGCUUGCGCAGGAUAGGUGGGAGGCUGUGAAGAUAUUCUUGCGGGAAUGUUGGAGCCAACGGUGAGAUACCACUCUAGUAAGGCUAAAAUUCUAACUCUGAACCGUUAUCCGGUCAGAGAACAGUUUCAGGUGGCAGUUUGACUGGGGCGGUCGCCUCCUAAAAGGUAACGGAGGCGCGCAAAGGUUCCCUCAGGCUGGUUGGACAUCAGUCGUAGAGUGUAAAGGCAUAAGGGAGCUUGACUGCGAGACCCACAAGUCGAGCAGAGACGAAAGUCGGCCUUAGUGAUCCGACGGUUCCACGUGGAAGGGCCGUCGCUCAACGGAUAAAAGUUACUCUAAGGAUAACAGGCUGAUCUCCCCCAAGAGUUCACAUCGACGGGGAGGUUUGGCACCUCGAUGUCGGCUCAUCGCAUCCUGGGGCGGUAGUACGUCCCAAGGGUUGGGCUGUUCGCCCAUGAAAGCGGUACGCGAGCUGGGUUCGGAACGUCGUGAGACAGUUCGGUCCAUAUCCGGUGCAGGCGUUAGAGCAUUGAGAGGAGUCCCCCUUAGUACGAGAGGACCGGGGGGAAUACACCGCUGGUGUACCAGUUAUCGUGCCAACGGUAAACGCUGGGUAGCCAUGUGUAGCGCGGAUAACUGCUGAAAGCAUCUAAGUAGGAAGCCCACCUUAAGAUGAGUGCUCUCACCGCUAUAAGCGGGUAAGGUCACGGUAAGAACAACCGUUAUAUAGGCAUUAAGUAUACGUGCAGUAAUGCAUUUAGCUGAGAUGUACUAACAGACCGAGGGCUUG